Dictyostelium discoideum is the source of this 73-nucleotide non-coding RNA. NCBI's taxonomy places the organism in Eukaryota, Evosea, Eumycetozoa, Dictyosteliales, Dictyosteliaceae. The record is from Rfam.
GUCUUAGUAGCUCAGAUGGUAGAGCAGUAGGCUGUUAACUUAUUGGUCAUUGGUUCGACCCCAAUCUAAGACG